AACGAACGCUGGCGGCAUGCCUAACACAUGCAAGUCGAACGAAGUCUUCGGACUUAGUGGCGCACGGGUGCGUAACGCGUGGGAAUCUGCCCUUGGGUACGGAAUAACUCAGAGAAAUUUGUGCUAAUACCGUAUAAUGUCUUCGGACCAAAGAUUUAUCGCCCAAGGAUGAGCCCGCGUAAGAUUAGCUAGUUGGUGGGGUAAAAGCCUACCAAGGCGACGAUCUUUAGCUGGUCUGAGAGGAUGAUCAGCCACACUGGGACUGGGACACGGCCCAGACUCCUACGGGAGGCAGCAGUGGGGAAUAUUGAACAAUGGGCGAAGGCAUGAUCCAGCAAUGCCGGGUGAGUGAUGAAGGCCGUAGGGUAGUAAAGCUCUUUUACCAGGGAUGAUAAUGACGGUACCUGGAGAAUAAGCUCCGGCUAACUCCGUG
Molecule: ribosomal RNA, 433 nt
Filed under: uncultured bacterium
Lineage: Bacteria
Description: partial 16S ribosomal RNA
Rfam family: Bacterial small subunit ribosomal RNA
Source: RNAcentral